This 400-nucleotide ribosomal RNA is filed under the name uncultured bacterium. RNAcentral describes it as "bacterial SSU rRNA". It matches the Rfam family "Bacterial small subunit ribosomal RNA", at positions 355 to 752 of the family's 1533-position model. The record is from RNAcentral.
UAAGGAAUAUUGGUCAAUGGACGGAAGUCUGAACCAGCCAUCCCGCGUGCAGGAAGAAGGUCCUAUGGAUUGUAAACUGCUUUUAGCAGAGACGAAGACCUUUCAUUUAUGAGAGAGUGACGGUAUCUGCGGAAUAAGCACCGGCUAACUCCGUGCCAGCAGCCGCGGUAAUACGGAGGGUGCAAGCGUUAUCCGGAAUCACUGGGUUUAAAGGGUGCGUAGGCGGGGGAUUAAGUCAGUGGUGAAAGCCUGUAGCUUAACUACAGAAUUGCCAUUGAUACUGAUUUUCUUGAAUUGGGUUGAGGUUAGCGGAAUGUGACAUGUAACGGUGAAAUGUUUAGAUAUGUCAUGGAACACCGAUUGCGAAGGCAGCUAGCUGGGCCUUGAUUGACGCUGAGGC